GUCCACGCCGUAAACGUUGGGCACUAGGUGUGGGGCUCUAUCGACGGGCUCCGUGCCGUAGCUAACGCAUUAAGUGCCCCGCCUGGGGAGUACGGCCGCAAGGCUAAAACUCAAAGGAAUUGACGGGGGCCCGCACAAGCGGCGGAGCAUGUGGCUUAAUUCGAUGCAACGCGAAGAACCUUACCUGGGUUGAACUAUGCAGGAAAAGCCGUAGAGAUACGGUGUCCUUCGGGGCCUGCGAUAGGUGGUGCAUGGCUGUCGU
This 262-nucleotide ribosomal RNA is filed under the name uncultured bacterium. RNAcentral's name for it is "partial 16S ribosomal RNA". It matches the Rfam family "Bacterial small subunit ribosomal RNA", at positions 793 to 1055 of the family's 1533-position model. The record is from RNAcentral.